This is a long non-coding RNA of Budorcas taxicolor (takin), 198 nucleotides long. RefSeq lists it as uncharacterized. The record is from RefSeq and is a predicted model, not a curated record. The transcript has 3 exons. NCBI's taxonomy places the organism in Eukaryota, Metazoa, Chordata, Mammalia, Artiodactyla, Bovidae.
ACCAGCCAGAACCCAGCUUGAGAUGGAGCUGACAAGACGCACCUAUCAGUUCUUAUUGCAGCUGCUCAUGGUGAGGUCCUUCAAUGUUACUGCAUUUCAAUGUUACAGAAUUUCGUUCUUUUCCAUGGGCUGAUCCCUUGGAGUGCAGAGGCUCUCUGAGUCUACUUACUUGUCCUGGAUUCUAAGACCCACGCGAGA